Molecule: ribosomal RNA, 253 nt
Filed under: uncultured bacterium
Lineage: Bacteria
Description: partial 16S ribosomal RNA
Rfam family: Bacterial small subunit ribosomal RNA
Source: RNAcentral
UACAGAGGGGGCAAGCGUUGUUCGGAAUUACUGGGCGUAAAGGGCGCGUAGGCGGCCUGCUAAGUCGAACGUGAAAUCCCCGGGCUCAACCCGGGAACUGCGUCCGAUACUGGCAGGCUUGAAUCCGGGAGAGGGAUGUGGAAUUCCAGGUGUAGCGGUGAAAUGCGUAGAUAUCUGGAGGAACACCGGUGGCGAAGGCGGCAUCCUGGACCGGCAUUGACGCUGAAUAGCGAAAGCCAGGGGAGCAAACGGG